AAGUCGUAACAAGGUUUCCGUAGGUGAACCUGCGGAAGGAUCAUUACCGAGUGUAGGGUUCCUAGCGAGCCCAACCUCCCACCCGUGUUUACUGUAACCUUAGUUGCUUCGGCGGGCCCGCCUUUAAGGCCGCCGGGGGGCAUCAGCCCCCGGGCCCGCGCCCGCCGGAGACACCACGAACUCUGUCUGAUCUAGUGAAGUCUGAGUUGAUUGUAUCGCAAUCAGUUAAAACUUUCAACAAUGGAUCUCUUGGUUCCG
RNAcentral lists this unclassified non-coding RNA (258 nucleotides) under Aspergillus tamarii. Its description in RNAcentral is "partial internal transcribed spacer region". The stretch from base 1 to 46 matches the Rfam family "Eukaryotic small subunit ribosomal RNA", at positions 1786 to 1831 of the family's 1831-position model. Lineage: Eukaryota; Fungi; Ascomycota; Eurotiomycetes; Eurotiales; Aspergillaceae. The record is from RNAcentral.